RNAcentral lists this small nucleolar RNA (69 nucleotides) under Loxodonta africana (African savanna elephant). The record is from RNAcentral. Lineage: Eukaryota; Metazoa; Chordata; Mammalia; Proboscidea; Elephantidae.
GCGCACAUUUCUUUGGCCUACUUUCUUUUACAUAUGUGAGCGGUGUUAUUUGUUAUGUGCUAUGCAAAU